RNAcentral lists this long non-coding RNA (2018 nucleotides) under Malus domestica (apple). RNAcentral's name for it is "long non-coding RNA (MDOM_LNC010851)". The record is from RNAcentral. Lineage: Eukaryota; Viridiplantae; Streptophyta; Magnoliopsida; Rosales; Rosaceae.
CUAGUGUAUUCUCAUGUUUGGUUUGCACGAGGAUUAGGUUUAAUGGGAGUAGGGGACUCGCUCGGAUUAAUGGCUUCGCUAUGCGAAGUACCCCAAACUCGGCCGGACUCGUAAGACCUUCACGAGAGAGAACCUUGCGCAUCCUGAGUCGUCACACAUCGCUCCUGCUUGCCCUGCUCCCUCAUCCUCGUCCACCUCACUCCCAUCUCUGCAUCCUGCUUGCCUGCAUCCUGCUCGCCCUCAUCUGCUCCUCUUGCCUGGUAAACUUCGAAUCUUAGAUUUAUUUCUUCGAUUUAUUUUGCAGAUCGUGAUAUUUAUGAUCUUUAUUUGAUUUAGUUGUUUUGGGUUUGAGAAAUUUUCAAUAAUAGACCUCUUCACUUGAACAAAUUAGGGUUUUGAUUUUUUGGGUCAAAUUCCAGAUUGAGAUUGGACAGUUUGGAAUCAGUUGCUGCCUAUUAGUGUUUGAGAUUCUUCCAUUUGGUUUUGUUUUCUCACUGGGGUUGUAGAUCGUGAUUCGUACUGGAUAAACUUCGAAUCAGUUGCUGAUCUUUAUUUGAUUUGGUUUUGUUUUCUCACUUGGGUUGUAGAUCGUGAUUCUUCAAUUCGGGUUUGCAUUUGUGGUGUCUGAAAAAAAAAAAAAAACUAUAUAUAUAGGGACUGUGAGAGCCAUUCAGAAUGGCAAUGGAAAAACAAAUUGAUAGAUUCCCCUGAAUAUAUGUUCAGAAUGGCAAUGGAAAAACAAAUUGAUAGCUUCCCCUGAAUAUAUAUAUAAAUAUAUAUUGACUUAUAUAAACCAAGAACUCCUGGAAAAAGUGUACUCAAUGAAGCCACAAUUCAAGUAGCCAUUUCUACUGUGGCUUUUUUAACAUUUACGAGCUCCAGUUGUGACAUUGCCCAAGAAAAAUGCCAUCCUACCCACAUGCCCAAAAGAGCUAUUUAGCUUUGUUGGUGUGUAGAAGAAGAAGCUCACAAGUGCUUUUGUAUUUACUCAUUCCUUGUUAGGCAGUGUUAGGCUGUUUUACACAUGGGACUGCGCUUGGAAACCAAAACAAACUGAUUGAAAUUAUCUUGCUUAGAGUUGAGUAUAAUUUCUUAGUGGCAAGUUGGCAAAAGAAGAGAAAAAAAUCAUAGCUGUUCAAUUUUCUAUCACAGUUGCAUUUUACUUUGAGAAAUUUACUUUUUAUUGUGCAGUUAAACAUCCUCCUUUUUCACUUCUAAAAUUAGUGAUGUAACUUUUGAUUAUCUCAAGUUAUUUAUUGAUUUACUAGGAGAUUUGUUGCCUUUUGCAGAAGGGGUUUUGUUUCUAGGCUGGAAAGGAAAAAGACACUGAAAACCCGUAUCUUUGCAUCAGAACUCAAGAAAGUGUUCGUCCAAAGGCUUUUAAGUGACAAAGGAAGUGGAUGAUUUUAUUAUUUGGUGCCCUUUGACAUGGGUGUAUUUUUUUAAUCGUACAAUCCUUUUGACAUGGGAUGUAUUUUGUUAAUCGUACAAUCUUAGGUUAUGGCUUCUAACUUAGCUUUGCACUGUGAAAUAAUUUGGCUAAUUUUAACUAAGAUUUUGUAAAUUAUGGAGAUCUACUAAGAAGCAGGAUUUUGUAAAUUAAGCCAACUCGCAAUUUUGUGUCUGCCAAGCAAGAGCAGUUUCUCAAGCAUUUUGUGUAUGCCAACACGUAAUUUUGUGUAAAUUAUGUGCUUUAGGUUGGUCUACUGAGAAAAUGAUAUGUACUUUGGGGCGGUGCAUUCGUGCAGCGAGUGCCAUAAUUUUGUGUAAAUUAUGUGCUUUAGGUUGCUCGUAAUUUUGUGUAUGCCAAGCAAGAGCAGUUUCUCAAGCACUCAUCCUCACAUUGUUUCCAACUCGAAUUCGUAUCCACAAGUGCCCAUGAUGUGUUAGGAGUCCUCAUUUUAAGACCACCUUGCAGUGCCAUUCCACCACCCCCUAUUCACAUUCCAGUUUCCCCCUAUUCACAAUUGGUUAAUGUUAACUAGAAUUUUCAUUAGUUUCCCAACCAAAAAAAAAAU